GCGAGAAUAGCUCAGUUGGUAGAGUACGACCUUGCCAAGGUCGAAGUCGCGGGUUCGAGCCCCGUUUCUCGCU
This 73-nucleotide transfer RNA is filed under the name Blattabacterium punctulatus. RNAcentral's name for it is "tRNA-Gly". It matches the Rfam family "tRNA". Rfam says of the family: Transfer RNA (tRNA) molecules are approximately 80 nucleotides in length. Lineage: Bacteria; Pseudomonadati; Bacteroidota; Flavobacteriia; Flavobacteriales; Blattabacteriaceae. The record is from RNAcentral.